Aquila chrysaetos chrysaetos is the source of this 6450-nucleotide long non-coding RNA. RefSeq lists it as uncharacterized. NCBI's taxonomy places the organism in Eukaryota, Metazoa, Chordata, Aves, Accipitriformes, Accipitridae. The transcript has 3 exons. The record is from RefSeq and is a predicted model, not a curated record.
CCUCAACAGUCAAAAAAGAGAAAAAGCACAUCUACAAGGCAAGAUCCAUCACCUGUUUUGGGAUGGGGAUGAAUCGCCCUCGGGCAAAUUUGUCUUUGAUGUUCAUAGCCAAGACAUAGAUGAUUACCUUUUGGAAGGACAAGGCCAGGCCAGGUGAUUGCCACUGUCAGGGACAGCCACUAGCUGAAUGUCCCAAAAGAGGAACAGCCACUCUUAAUUUAAUCAUGAGUCUUUUUGCAGGCGAUGUGAUCUUAAUGUCUCAGCUCCUGGUAUCGCAUAGCUACGUGGGAAUCUGCUUUCGUUAAAAGUUUUCCCUCCUGGCCAUUGAAUACUUGAAAAUGUCAACCUUCUGUUUACCAAAAACAUAUAUAUGUGCACAUAUGCACUCACAUCAGCUAGGCAGUAUCCCAGUGUAGUUAUUUUUAAAGACACUUAAUGAGUUUUGGCUGACCCAGCACAUAAUUUCUGAGGUUGCAUUUCAAGGGUUGUUAGGGUGAAAAGGUAUAAGACGAAAGCAGAAGGUUUGGACGGACUGAGCUCCUCAAACAAUGCAUCGAUGCAGCAGAACGGUCCCCUACAUGUGUACACCUCUGGUGACAGAGGACUUGGAGCUGCACUGAUUGACUUCUCCGUUUUGCAAAGCCACACUACAGCCCCAUUGCUUUACCUCAGCCUCUAGGAGAUCAGAGAGAUCUGUAAAAAUGGUGAUCAGGUUGUGAGGAUGAAUGUUGCUAUUGUGAGAGCUAGACCUGCAGGCAAAAUCUCCUGUCAAGACGGGACAGAUGUGACUACAGCUGGGGAAAAGAAGUGUGUGAGAAAGGACACAGUGGAGGGUCUGAAACUAAGAAACUUCAUGGAAAGAGAGAAAACCACUUGUGAUUCCUGGGAUGGGCAAGGUGUGCAUUUGACUGGAAAAAGACUGGGGACUUGAGGAUUCAUGCAUGAGGCCAACUAGGGUUCUGGAUCAUGAGGGAACAUGAGGACAGUGGUUUGUAGCAGCUCCUUUUUUUUUUGGGAACAGCCUGCAGGAUUCACAAAAAGAGAAGCAAACCACUGUUGUUCCCUGGGAAUACCUGUGAAAUCAUGUGUAUGUCCUGUGCCAAAAAGGCACACAGCCAUCCUCCUGUGAGGAGGAGGAUGGCCAGCAUUACAUUUUAAUAACCGGUCCAUGCAUUUUGGAGGGUGGGGCCCACCUUGCCUCCAGAGGCUAUUUUCUUUGUGGAUAAUGCUUUUCAAACUGGCGGGGGUUCUCUUAUGCAGGGGAUUAUAUCUACUAAAACAAAGCUAAAAGAGAGCAGUUGGGGAAAUAUGUCAUGAUUAUUCAUAAAGGCCAAUUAAAAAAUUGUUUUUAGUGACUUAAUUCUCUCUUAGUGAGUGUGGUUGUUGCAUCCAUGCUUUGUUUUGAUUCAGAUGGUAUCUGCAGCAGGGUGAAUCACUUGAACUGAAGCCCUGAGCUUUUGAAAUACCAACUUUUCUUUAGGGAAGCAGAAAAAUAGAGCCAAAAUUUAAAUUCGGCUGAUUAAAAUAAGCAGUUUAAAAAUACCUGCUUAAAAGUUCUGGUGUAUUGUAACCUCUCAACUUAUUAAAGCAAAGAAAAACCAGCUUUUGGACAGGCUGUUUUAACAAAUAUGCAGGUCCUUCAACUGCUUUGAAAUCUCACGACUUUGCCAAGUGUAGACUUUGGGGCUGGGAGGUGGGAUGGGAAAGUUAGCAGAAGGCAAGGUCUACCUUUCUUGAAGUGUGUCUUUGGUUUUUACACAAGAGAAAAAUGAUGUUGAAGGCUUAUAGGUGCUGCUUUGACCCAACCAAGCACAAACGGGGUAAGACUGAGGACCACAACAGCCUUUAGCACCACACAUAGCUUUCCCAGCCUACCAAGGGCCAUGUUCUAGGAAAACCUUCGUCUUUAUUCCCUAGGGCCAGGGGAUGCUGGUGGCAUUUUGCCUGCUGGUGUGCUACUGACAAAUUAAAAAAAAAAUUAAUAUUACUAAAAGAUUAUUUUUCCCUUACCCAGUAGCGUAACACACCGAAAUAAGUCCUGUUCACUCACCCGAGAGCUGAAGUGCAGGAAAUGCAGUGCUGUCUCUUACGCAGCACCAUUAUUAGGGUACAGCAGGUAGAAAGAUGGCCUUGACGUACUUGUUAAUGCUGCCUUGAGCCCUCUCCCCACACUGCAGUUUUCACGAGGUUUCAGAGCAGCGAAACACGGCAGGGAACGGGGUUACUGGCUCUGACCACACCAGGCAUCGGCACCACUCGCCGCGGGCUGGCGCGUUCCUCCCUUGCUCAAGGGUGAUGCAGCUGAGAGCACACCACGGCUGCCCUCUCCCAGCCCAGCCCUGCGGCACUUGAGCUGGGAGGAUUCAAAGCUGCUUUUCUGUUUUAUUUUUCUUCAGCAAUGCCUUGGCAGUGGUGUAGCCCCAAUUGCAGCUGUAGUCACACAGACACAAGGACCCCGGUACUCAUUCCUGAGUUUCUGUACGGCAACUAGUAGUUACCCCAGUAUAAGGAGAUAAAGGGACUUAUACCAUUGUACCGUGGUAUAUAAGGUAAGUUAUUAGAUACAGGCACAUACAUACACAAAUACAUGUAUGUGUAUACUAUGUACAUUACACCAUACAGGAGUGGUGAAUGCACCAUACUCUGAAUACAGGCAAGGGUAGCCUUAUUUUGCAACCAGCGAUGGUACAUCAGCUUGGAAAACAAGGAAAGAGAUGGUUAAUCAGAUCUUUUCUUUUUCACUGUACAUUGGCUUCACUCCAAUAGCUUGCAGGCUUUAUUAAUGGACUUUAUUAAAAGCCUAAUCCUUCUCUCCACUCGGCUAAAGGCUGAGAAGCCCCUAAUGCAUGGUCCUGAAGGGAAAUCUUCAGCAGAAACCGAGAACGCAAACUCAACAGCCCAACCAGAUAUUUUAAGGGCCAAACUAUGGUUUCCACCCCAGGAGAGCUUCUACCUACAACAAGCUAUACAGAGAGCUUUUUUUGGCCAUCAUGGAAAGGUGGAAAGACCUCCUCCACCAGGGUCUAGAGCAUCAGCCAGGCUUUCUGCCAUCAGGGCCAGGGGCUUGCAGGCUGGGCAGCACGAGCUGGCAUCACCCCACCGGCAGCACACGUGGUUUUGGGUUUCCCCGACCCAAAGAGGGUGUGAGCCCAAAGAGGGAUGCCCAGGCGGGAUGCUUGCAGCAGUCGCGCGGUGCCGGCUUGCUUGGCAGCUGUACUGCAAAGGCUUGGGCGAGGGAAGAGUAUCUGCGCUGCCACCCCAGCUGUAGCUACUCCCUGUUAGCUGUAAAAAUUACACUAUGAAGAGCAAGCAAUUACUCGAAACCGGUAAAUUAAAAGUGUAUCUGUAGAUGUAAGUUAUAUUUUAUUCAAGUUAAAGUCUACCUAAUACUGCUGCAGCUACGCAGUGUUUGGUAAGCUGCAAGGAAGGUACACAGACAUUUUGAAGGAUUCCAGCAGAACGUGAAUGCUGCAGAAUAACAUAAGCUUUUCUAAGAGGUGUGAAAGCAUCAAGUGUCAGAAGAAGAGGGCAGAGCAGCAGGUAUUUGUAAAGGUAGCCAGCGGAACAGAAGAAGCAUAGGCUUGGGGCUGGCCAGUAGCCAAAAGCAACAAAAGGAAAGAAUUUGGUGAAUUUGCAAGGGUAGAAGAGGGGAAUUAAAGCACAAAAUCUAUGGCAAAAAUAACCAUAUCCUAUAACUUCCCCCAAAUGAAGGAAAAACCAACGAUGCCACAGAAGUGACCGAAACCAAGAAGCUGAAGGUAUUUAUGGAAAUCUCUGUGCCCUGGGAGUUUGUAAAUGAUGUAACUCCAUCCUGAAAAAGGGCAAGUAACAAAUCAGUUCCUGACGUGUCCCACACCCCAUCCUUGCGCACACGCACCACCAAGCUGGUACUAGACCAGAGAACUGGUCCAGCUAUAAACCUUUUUUAUCUUUUAAAUAGGACCUGUGAGUGCUCUUUUUUCCUCCAUUUUUCCUAGAUAGGCUCAUCAUCACAGUGUGUCAUUUUUUUUUUUUGUAAAUGGCAAACCAUGGUUGCUUUUCAGCUAGCUUGUAGCAGGGGGAGUAUUUUAUCUGAGUCACCAGAGCCAUCUGUUUUAGACAAGUAUUUUAGUGAAUGAUCUCUCCCUUAUAGUUAUACAAUUUCUUUAUUCUCCUGUUUAAGGAUUAAUUAUGCGAAGAAGAAGGCAGGGUGGCCUCUUGCUGGCUCGCUCACCCUCCCUCCAUGAGCACCUGCUGGCAUUAAACCAUGUGCCUAAUCCAGCUUCAGCACCACCAAAUAUUAAAAUGGUCUGUGAACAGAUUUUCAAGAUGGAUUAGAACUAUGGAUUAAAGUUUAAAAAGAAACAUUUUUGGCUUGCUGGGCAGUUGCAAACAACUUCUCUUCAGUUCCCUACAGAUUGCUCAGGGUAUAAGAACAUCAUGUGGAGAUGGGGGUUCCUCAAAACAUUGACCCUUGCCUGCUUCCUGCAGCACUUGGACAUCGUUCAAGGUUCACAACCAAUGUUUCCUCAGUGGGUGACACUGCUCUGGUGGCUUAGCAGUGCUCCGGGAUGGGCGCCUGAGCCGAGGCGGGCUCUCCCCAAGGUUCCUCUCCCUCCCCGGUAGCCAGCAAGGCGAAGCAGCACAAUGAGGUCAGUUGUGGACAUCCCCAGCUGUGCUGCAGGGCAUCUGCCCCUACCUCCAAGUUUAUUCUUUAAAUCAUCUUCGUCACUGGUGCUUUUCCAGAGCUGUUGUACCCAGCCCUGGUGCUUUCAGAAGAAGAAGAAGAAAGCAAAGCACAUUGGAAAUGGGUGGCAGUAGUGGCUGUGUGCCCUGGGAGGCAGCAGCAGUGGGGCAGCCGCUGACUGUGAGCCUCUGCAUGCCUGUGCUCUGCAUGCUUAUUUAAGGAAAAUAUUGAAGUUGAGAUUUUUGCAAAAAUGUCAGAGGGAUAAGCAUGUCUAAUUCCUAUUAAAAUAAACAGGAACUAGACAUCCAGCCAGCUGGGUGAAAAAGAAAAGGAAAAGGACAUUAAACACCUGGCUAAAGCUGUAGUGAUGAAUCAACCAUACUCCAGCCCCCAAAGGAUGAAUCAAGUAUAUCACUAAUCCAGACUUUUCUAAAGUCCAUGUGUUAUGAAUACACCACUUUUUUCAGUAACAUGCAAAACAAGGGAAUAAUUACAUUACACAUAAAUACACAUGAAUAUUUUCCAUUAGCCUUUAAAGGACCUGGUUUUAAAAAGAUCUUUACUGGAUGUCACUCAAUUAUACAAAUAAUCUGGAGAUUUAGAAACCAAAACCGGGGGACAGGCCAGACCAAUUUCUCAUGUGGUGAAACUCCACUGACUGUGAGUGCAUUUAGGGCACGGCAGUGAAAGCAUCCCCCCCAGGAACAAAAGGAAUGAGAAAAUACUGGGGAAAACUAAAUCCCCUCCAACAGCUGCCUGGUGUGCUGCCUUCCUGCCAUGUGGCUGUAGCUUCUACAUCAAACCUGCCAUCACCGUUAACGGCACCUGUUGAAAAGACCCAGCAGCUAAUGAAGCGACCAGCGACACAUCAUCAGACAAUGAAACAUUCAGGCGAUAAAUACAGGGCUAUUGACAGAGGUCUGGGAUUCUAUAUCUCUGUUUUCAUGCAGGGGGGCUCCAGAUCCCCCCGGCCAAGUGAUUUAUGGGCUCCAGAUUGAAAGCAGCUCUGUUCUGCCCGCCCUGUGCAAAUCGCAGAUCAAAGGCAACCAUCUCUGGGGUGGAUGAUGGCGAACAUGGUGCGGUCCAAAACUGGCUUGUGAGAAACAGGGAAACCAGAAGAGCCGAAAGGAGAGAUGAGCACCUGCAUGGUGUUGCUGCAGUGCCAUGACACUCUUUUUACCAGGGUUGCUGAGACGCCAGCAUUUGGCGCAGCAGUUCCUCAUCUUGAAUACAGAUGGCAAGUAAGUGACGGGAGGCUGCUUGUUUGCUAAAAUGCCCAGACAAACUCCAGACUGGGAAGGACAAGCAGAGCAGCUACUGAGGCUUGGUGGCCUGCCAAAUCAAACAACUCAUGGGAAGGAGCUAAAAAAGAGACAACAUUUCUAUGUUACAACGCGUCUGGUAAAAAUGCUCCAUAAACAAAGCUGGUACAGAUAAACUGAUCUUUCCACCGGAGCUGGCUAGAGGGGAUGCCAUGGUCCAGCCAGGCAGGGUCCCAUUUGCACUUCUCCAACCCUUUCUUGGCGUGGCUGCCGCAGGAGGUACGCUUUCAGCUCUGCGGUCACCGCUCCAGCACGUCAGGACCCCCGCCUGCCCGGAGGCACGGCCUUGGCCACCCCCAAACCUCCAUCCGUGCUGCUACGGUGGGUGCCAGCCACCCACACCAGCAGGCUGGGGACACGCUUUAAAGGAUGACGUCCACGUUACACGCACACCGACCGGUUCAGCGUCUCGCCGGCCAGGCUAACCCGCGGCAGCGCCCGCGCUCCCGCCAGCCGUGACCC